RNAcentral lists this long non-coding RNA (232 nucleotides) under Elaeis guineensis (African oil palm). RNAcentral's name for it is "long non-coding RNA (EGUI_LNC051010)". Lineage: Eukaryota; Viridiplantae; Streptophyta; Magnoliopsida; Arecales; Arecaceae. The record is from RNAcentral.
ACCAGAAGUCCAUGCACAUAGAGUUUAGAUAAACGCAAUUACCUCAAAUAGAAAUACAUGGAGGUACAGAGAGUAAACUCCACAUAAUAGUUGUAGGCCCAAGUCAAUUGGCCAGCUAAACACUGAAGUCUGUCUUCAGAAGAUGGGGCUCAGGUAUAUGGCAGAUUGGUUUUAGUGCAAGUGGAAGUUUGUUAGAUGUGUGUCCUAGAAGUCAAUCUUGGCUGACACAUAC